CUUGAACCCGGGAGGCGGAGGUUGCAGUGAGCCGAGAUCGUGCCACUGGACUCUAGCCUGGGUGACAGAGCAAGACUCCAACUUGAAAAAAAAAAAAGCUGAGGAAAGAAAGAUAUUAUUUUAGCACGUUAUUAUUACUGAUGUCACUUCCUCCUUCUUUGUUUCUUUUGCCUUUUUCUCAUAUGAAACAUCAUGUCAUUCCUAAAGAGGAGAAACUCACAGGUCAAAAAUGUAAGGCUUUCUCUGUGUCUGAGAGGAAAAUGUUGUCAUUUAAAAUAAAAUACCUCCUAC
RNAcentral lists this long non-coding RNA (291 nucleotides) under Homo sapiens (human). RNAcentral's name for it is "HSALNT0336917". Lineage: Eukaryota; Metazoa; Chordata; Mammalia; Primates; Hominidae. The record is from RNAcentral.